Long non-coding RNA from Leptidea sinapis, 1070 nucleotides. RefSeq lists it as uncharacterized. The transcript is spliced from 2 exons. The record is from RefSeq and is a predicted model, not a curated record. NCBI's taxonomy places the organism in Eukaryota, Metazoa, Arthropoda, Insecta, Lepidoptera, Pieridae.
AUAGCUAUCUGUUGCAUUCCAGCAAAGCCUCGUCUACAGAGUACCUUAUAUUAAAACAUCCGAUAAUAGUUGAUGGAACGUUUUCAAUUAAAAUAAUAGAUUUCUAGUUUGUUUUUGGCCACACGUCUUAUUGAUAUUGACUGGCUAAUUACAUACAACUCAUUACAGGUUUGACUUAAGAAUUUGUUCUUUAGUUUUUUGAAUUUGGCAUAUUUUUAUACCUACUGUCAUGCCAUAAUUUUUGUUUAUUUAAAAGUGAAAUCCUAUCGGUUAAUUGAUUAUAAUAAUUAUGAUUUACAUGGCCAAUGGUGGAGGAUUGGCUCGUUCGUGCGCUGCUGUAUUUAAAACAACUCCAACAAUGAUGGAAGUAGUUGCGACACCAUAUUUUUACCCAAAAAUUACACCUGUAGUGGCUGAAACUCCACCACCUGUAAUAGUGCGAAGAGAAAUUUACAAAAGACUACCAACUGCUAGUAUUGUAGCCAAAUCUGGAUAUUUUAGUACUUUCUCUGUCAAUAGCUUCCUUAGGCUUUGUUGAAUGAAUAUCUGUCUGUCUCAACAUGUAUUAAGUACCUAAUCAGUUUUUUAUUUACUCCAGUAUUAAGUUUGUUGAAUCAAAGAACCAUAACAAGCGUAAAAUACUAAAAGUAGAACAAGUCGGUAUAUGAUAGUGGCUGUGGAAUCUACGGACAGUGCCCCCAAUUUGGCAAAUCUGUUAACUUGGCAAACGUUGCGUCCGUUUUCCAUUCGGAGGUAAACGCCAUAGUAAUAUGCGGAUACGAUCCAGAAUGAAGGCUACAUCGGCUAGUGUAUUUACAGAUAGUCAGGCGGACUAUACUGAAUGUUUUGGGAGAAAUAAACAAAGUUACACUUCAAAUGGUUCCAGGACAUGCAGCCAUCUAAGACAGCCUGUUGAUAUUGGAAAUUCAGCCCCCAAUUCUAUUUUUUCCCAUUCCGUAGAUCCACAACUGUCCCUAAGUCCUCAGUUCUUAAUCCCAUAUCAUCAGGACCUGUGAUCUAUGAAAGUGAAUGUGAAAUGAAAAGAAAUAAAAUGCUUUAUUUUUAUAUAA